AACGGCCGCGGUACCCUAACCGUGCGAAGGUAGCAUAAUCACUUGUUCUUUAAAUAGGGACUCGUAUCAACGGCAUCACGAGGGCUAUACUGUCUCCUUUCUCUAAUCAGUGAAACUGAUCUCCUCGUGAAGAAGCGAGGAUAGUUUUAUAAGACGAGAAGACCCCAUGGAGCUUUAAACCCAAUGUACAUCUCUACGCAUAUAAGCCCCAAUAGCCCAAGAAAAUUGUAUGUUGGUUUUGGGUUGGGGGGACCGCGGAGAAAAAAUUAACCUCCACGACAAACGGGCCUAUGCCCUUAUCCAUGAGCUACCACUCUAAGAAUCAAUAAACUGAUGUUCAGUGACCCAAUUUAUUGAUCAACGAACCAAGUUACCCUGGGGAUAACAGCGCAAUCUACUUCAAGAGCCCCUAUCGACAAGUAGGUUUACGACCUCGAUGUUGGAUCAGGGUAUCCUAGUGGUGCAGCCGCUACUAAAGGUUCGUUUGUUCAACGAUUAA
This 499-nucleotide ribosomal RNA is filed under the name Pelophylax saharicus (Sahara frog). RNAcentral's name for it is "partial 16S ribosomal RNA". It matches the Rfam family "Bacterial large subunit ribosomal RNA", at positions 1926 to 2591 of the family's 2925-position model. Lineage: Eukaryota; Metazoa; Chordata; Amphibia; Anura; Ranidae. The record is from RNAcentral.